GUGUGCACCUCAAUCACCUCAAAUUCAUUAAAAAAAAAUGCCAUGAUGGUUCUAAAAAGCUGAAAUGGCUGCACGAAGCUGGAUUUUCAUCAAAGGCCAUGAGUUCAUAACCACAAAUUCAGGUGGACAACCCGGGGGUGAAGGAGUUCUCCCAAAUAUCCAACCUGAACCUCUCCUGCUGCAGCUUGGGGCCAUUUCCUCUAGUCCUGUCCCUUGUUCCCUGGAAGGGAAGGAAAAAAAUGGUGGCAAAUGGAACAAAUUCCUAAGGGGCUCUCACCACGAGCAAGAACAUCCCAAAAAUCGCCUCGGAAAGAAUCAGUGGAGAAUUAGCUGGAACUUCAAAGAUAUCAGAAGUAUUAAUUCUGAACUGGAAGAUUGCUCCUGCCCACGUACACAGGGAACCUUUGGGGAAUAAAUUGGAGUUUCCUGAACAUUCCUUUCCUAUGGCAGGGAAAGAAUUACAAGGUCUGGAGACGUGGUUUAUGGCAAGCACCAACAGCUCUGAUUUCAGAGCCUUGUGGAGCUGUUGCAAUUUGAAAAUAAAAAACUUUCCAUCAUCA
This 560-nucleotide long non-coding RNA is filed under the name Chloebia gouldiae (Gouldian finch). RNAcentral describes it as "Erythrura gouldiae (Gouldian finch) lncRNA (ENSEGOG00005004149.1)". The record is from RNAcentral. Lineage: Eukaryota; Metazoa; Chordata; Aves; Passeriformes; Passeridae.